RNAcentral lists this ribosomal RNA (440 nucleotides) under uncultured bacterium. RNAcentral's name for it is "partial 16S ribosomal RNA". It matches the Rfam family "Bacterial small subunit ribosomal RNA", at positions 338 to 795 of the family's 1533-position model. The record is from RNAcentral.
CCUACGGGAGGCAGCAGUGGGGAAUAUUGCACAAUGGGGGACACCCUGAUGCAGCGACGCCGCGUGAGUGAUUAAGUAUUUCGGUACGUAACGCUCUAUCAGCAGGGAAGAAAAUGACGGUACCUGACUAAUAAGCCCCCGCUAACUACGUGCCAGCAGCCGCGGUAAUACGUAGGGGUCCAGCGUUAUUCGGAUUUACUGGGUGUAAAGUGCGCGUAGACGGCAGAGCAAGUCUGGAGUGAACUCCCAUGGCUUAACCAUGGAACUGCAUGGGAAUCUGUGCAGCUGGAGUGCAGGAGAGGUAAGCGGAAUUCCUAGUGAAGCGGUAAAAUGCGUAGAUAUAAGGAGGAACACCAGUGGCGAAGGCGACUUACUAGACUGUAACUGACGUUGAUGCUCGAAAGCGUGGGGAGCAAACAGGAUUAGAUACCCCGGUAGUC